AAAGUUUUUGUAUUUCUUUUUCAUAUGUUUCCAUCUCUGGAAAUGAGAAAAUUAGCUCUAGUUAUGUCGAAUAUUUUUUAGUUGUUUGGUCAAAAUCUGGAUAAACUGCAGAUCAUUACAAAUGAAACUGUUAAAUAAAACUGUACACAGCAAAUUCAAAAGUGUUAAAUGUUUUGGUGUUAGUAGACUUUAUGCAAAAGCAGAGUUAAUUUUACUCUAAUAGAGUCACAUUCUGUUUAUGUAACUCUGGGGUGUAUAUUAUAAGUAGUUAAAAUCCAGUGUUAAAACAAAGUUUUUUUCCGUAUCAAAUCUAUCGGCGUUAAAAUGGAACCAGUAACUCUUGACUUCUUAACUCUGAACUCCUACAGCGGCUGUAUAACGCUAAAGGAGUUCAUUCACUGACUGACUCCGCCCCCAGAAUCACCGGUUCCCUCCGAAGCGACGUCAAGCGACAGACGCCAAGUCAUUUCAGGACAAUUUACUUUCCACAUGUCCUGAGUUGUUCACUGCGCUUGUACCAGUAUGGUUGCGGAUGAAUCGCCAGUCGUCAACCUUCCCCUCCCGAACCCUACGUGGAUUCUUCGAAGAUUCAAGCGCCAAAAAUGAUUAUAGACCAAUACUGGCUAUUGUACUCGGGGACUGAAGACUGUCCAGUGCAGUAGAGGAGCACGGUGAUGUCUGGGGCCAAAGUUCACGAACAGCCCAACAACCCGAAGACAAUCUGUGUUAGUGAGUGGACAGCUCUGUGAGGGAGUGCAGAAAGGCCCAGUCCCUUAUCAACAGAAACAUAAACUGGGUAAGAAGUGAUGGAUCUGAAUAUCAG
This is a long non-coding RNA of Xiphophorus hellerii (green swordtail), 823 nucleotides long. RefSeq lists it as uncharacterized. The record is from RefSeq and is a predicted model, not a curated record. The transcript is spliced from 3 exons. NCBI's taxonomy places the organism in Eukaryota, Metazoa, Chordata, Actinopteri, Cyprinodontiformes, Poeciliidae.